This 245-nucleotide ribosomal RNA is filed under the name uncultured bacterium. Its description in RNAcentral is "partial 16S ribosomal RNA". It matches the Rfam family "Bacterial small subunit ribosomal RNA", at positions 15 to 249 of the family's 1533-position model. The record is from RNAcentral.
GAUCCUGGCUCAGGAUGAACGCUAGCUACAGGCUUAACACAUGCAAGUCGAGGGGCAGCAUGAACUUAGCUUGCUAAGUUUGAUGGCGACCGGCGCACGGGUGAGUAACACGUAUCCAACCUUCCGUUUACUCAGGGGAUAGCCUUUCGAAAGAAAGAUUAAUACCUGAUAGUAUGGUGAGAUUGCAUGAUAACACCAUUAAAGAUUUAUUGGUAAACCGAUGGGGAUGCGUUCCAUUAGGUAGG